RNAcentral lists this ribosomal RNA (497 nucleotides) under uncultured bacterium. Its description in RNAcentral is "partial 16S ribosomal RNA". It matches the Rfam family "Bacterial small subunit ribosomal RNA", at positions 28 to 507 of the family's 1533-position model. The record is from RNAcentral.
GAUGAACGCUGGCGGCGUGCCUAAUACAUGCAAGUCGAGCGAACAGACGCGGAUCUUGCUCCUCUGACGUUAGCGGCGGACGUGUGAGUAACACGUGGUUAACCUACCUCUAAGACUGGGAUAACUUCGUGAAACCGGAGCUAAUACCGGAUAAUAUCUUGAACCGCAUGGUUCAAUAGUGAAUGACGGUUUUGCUGUCACUUAUAGCUUGAUCCGCGCCGCAUUAGCUAGUUGGUAAGGUAACGGCUUACCAAGGCAAGGAGGCGUAGCCGACCUGGGAGGGUGAUAGGCAACACGGGAACGGAGCCACGGUCAAGAGGACUACGGGAGGCAGCAGUAGGGAAUGUUACGCAAUGGGCGAAAGCAUGACGGAGCAACGCCGAGUGAGUGAUGAAGGUCUUCGGAUCGUAAAAAUCGGUUAUGAGGGAAGAACAAAUGUGAAAGUAACUAUGGACGUAGUGACGGUACCUAAACAGAAAGCCACGGCUAACUACGUG